RNAcentral lists this ribosomal RNA (483 nucleotides) under uncultured bacterium. Its description in RNAcentral is "partial 16S ribosomal RNA". It matches the Rfam family "Bacterial small subunit ribosomal RNA", at positions 30 to 506 of the family's 1533-position model. The record is from RNAcentral.
AUUGAACGCUGGCGGCAGGCCUAACACAUGCAAGUCGAGCGGAUGAAGGGAGCUUGCUCCUGGAUUCAGCGGCGGACGGGUGAGUAAUGCCUAGGAAUCUGCCUGGUAGUGGGGGAUAACGUCCGGAAACGGGCGCUAAUACCGCAUACGUCCUGAGGGAGAAAGUGGGGGAUCUUCGGACCUCACGCUAUCAGAUGAGCCUAGGUCGGAUUAGCUAGUUGGUGGGGUAAAGGCCUACCAAGGCGACGAUCCGUAACUGGUCUGAGAGGAUGAUCAGUCACACUGGAACUGAGACACGGUCCAGACUCCUACGGGAGGCAGCAGUGGGGAAUAUUGGACAAUGGGCGAAAGCCUGAUCCAGCCAUGCCGCGUGUGUGAAGAAGGUCUUCGGAUUGUAAAGCACUUUAAGUUGGGAGGAAGGGCAGUAAGUUAAUACCUUGCUGUUUUGAUGUUACCAACAGAAUAAGCACCGGCUAACUUCGU